AUUGGACGCUGGCGGCAUGCCUUACACAUGCAAGUCGAACGGUAACAGGUCUUCGGAUGCUGACGAGUGGCGAACGGGUGAGUAAUACAUCGGAACGUGCCUAGUAGUGGGGGAUAACUACUCGAAAGAGUGGCUAAUACCGCAUGAGAUCUACGGAUGAAAGCAGGGGAUCGCAAGACCUUGUGCUACUAGAGCGGCCGAUGGCAGAUUAGGUAGUUGGUGGGAUAAAGCUUACCAAGCCGACGAUCUGUAGCUGGUCUGAGAGGACGAUCAGCCACACUGGGACUGAGACACGGCCCAGACUCCUACGGGAGGCAGCAGUGGGGAAUUUUGGACAAUGGGCGCAAGCCUGAUCCAGCAAUGCCGCGUGCAGGAUGAAGGCCUUCGGGUUGUAAACUGCUUUUGUACGGAACGAAAAGCCCUGGGUUAAUACCCUGGGGUCAUGACGGUACCGUAAGAAUAAGCACCGGCUAACUACGUGCCAGCCGCCGCAGUAA
Molecule: ribosomal RNA, 497 nt
Filed under: uncultured bacterium
Lineage: Bacteria
Description: partial 16S ribosomal RNA
Rfam family: Bacterial small subunit ribosomal RNA
Source: RNAcentral